Non-coding RNA from Microcebus murinus (gray mouse lemur), 489 nucleotides. NCBI's taxonomy places the organism in Eukaryota, Metazoa, Chordata, Mammalia, Primates, Cheirogaleidae. The record is from RefSeq and is a predicted model, not a curated record.
UGAAUUAACUUGAUUAUCGGAUUAUGUUGCAGUUGUAAAGGUAGGCAUUACAGCCCCAUGAAUAGGGGAUACACUUUAAAGUAAAACUCCAGAAUUCUCCACGCUCCCUUCCCAGCGUCCUGGCCUCUGUUACGUAAAGUCCAAUAACAACGCUGGAUCUCCCCUCCCCUUGACUGCCCUCUGCUGGCGUGUUGGACAGGGGCCAGGCAGACCUGUGCUCAAACUUCCUUUCAAACAAUUUACUAGCUCUAGGAUCGUGGAAAAUCGUUGGCCUUCUCGGGAUCCUACCUUCCAACAGUAGCCACCAGCCUUAUUGUUUCAUUGCCAGCGGAAGAGGCUGUGGAAAGAGAAUUCAAGAGUACAGACUGAUCCUAGCACUCUGGGAAGCCAAGGGUUACUGAAAAGAUUAAAUCAUAUGAUGGAUGUCGAGUACCUGGAAGACAGCCUAGCCCACAGAAAGUGCCCAGUAAAUGUUGAUUUUUCUCAUGA